CCUGGCUCAGGAUGAACGCUGGCGGCGUGCCUAACACAUGCAAGUCGAACGGAGUACAGACGCUGUGCGGAGAAGUGCUUGCACGGAACCAAACUUGUUGACUUAGUGGCGGACGGGUGAGUAACGCGUGGAGAACCUGCCUCACACAGGGGGAUAACAGGGAGAAAUUCCUGCUAAUACCGCAUAAGCGCACGACAUGGCAUCAUGAAGUGUGAAAAAGAUUUAUCGGUGUGAGAUGGCUCCGCGUCUGAUUAGCCAGUUGGUGGGGUAACGGCCUACCAAAGCGACGAUCAGUAGCCGGCCUGAGAGGGCGGACGGCCACAUUGGGACUGAGACACGGCCCAGACUCCUACGGGAGGCAGCAGUGGGGGAUAUUGCACAAUGGGGGGAACCCUGAAUGCAGCGACGCCGCGUGGGUGAAGAAGUAUUUCGGUAUGUAAAGCCCUAUCAGCAGGGAAGAUAAUGACGGUACCUGACUAAGAAGCCCCGGCUAACUACGUGCCAGCCGCCGC
This 512-nucleotide ribosomal RNA is filed under the name uncultured bacterium. RNAcentral describes it as "bacterial SSU rRNA". It matches the Rfam family "Bacterial small subunit ribosomal RNA", at positions 18 to 518 of the family's 1533-position model. The record is from RNAcentral.